CAUAUGCUUGUCUCAAAGAUUAAGCCAUGCAUGUCUGAGUACAGACCAUAUCUAAGGUGAAACCGCGAAUGGCUCAUUAAAUCAGUCAUAAUUUCUUGGAUAGUGAAAAACUUUCCUCGGAUAACUGUGGAAAAUCCAGAGCUAAUACGUGCAACUGAGCUCCGACCUCGGCCGACGCCUUGGGAAGAGCGCAUUUAUUAGAUUCAAAACUGACCGUCGUAUUCCUUCGGGAUGCGUCGUUUGUCAUAUUGAUGACUCCGGAUAACUAAGCCGAGCGCUCCGGUCUUUGUACCGGCGCCGUAUCUUUCAAGUGUCUGCCUUAUCAGCUUUCGAUUGUAGGUUAAACGCCUACAAUGGCUGUAACGGGUAACGGGGAAUCAGGGUUCGAUUCCGGAGAGGGAGCCUGAGAAACGGCUACCACAUCUAAGGAAGGCAGCAGGCACGCAAAUUACCCACUCCCAGCUCGGGGAGGUAGUGACGAAAAAUAACGAUGCGAGACUCUUCCGAGGCCUCGCAAUCGGAAUGAGUCCAUUCUAAAUCCUUGGACGAGGAUCCAUUGGAGGGCAAGUCUGGUGCCAGCAGCCGCGGUAAUUCCAGCUCCAAUAGCGUAUAUUAAAGUUGCUGCGGUUAAAAAGCUCGUAGUUGGAUCUCCUAGAUCCAAUUCGUGGGCGGGUCGCCCGUUGUUCGAGCGUCUUCGCGGUCCCUCGAUAGGUUCUUUCCUCGGUGCGGCAUGGUAGUCGUUGCGAAGAUCGUCGCCCGUGCUCUCUCUGAGACGUAGUCCCCUGCGUGGGGGCAUGCUGAAAGGGAGUAGGUGCGUGGUGAUGGAUAUCGUAUACACUCGUGCGCGGUGUCGGGAUUGCGCUUAGCCUGUGGGCGGUUGACGCAGUCUUCGGGAACUGCCCGUCCGCGUUUGGUACAAUUAAAAUUUUGUCGGCUCGCUCGGAGUGCUCUUUACCGAGUGUUCCAGGGUGGCCGACACGUUCACUUUGAAAAAAUUAGAGUGCUUAAAGCGGGCUAUAGAGUUGCCUGAAUGUUGUUGCAUGGAAUGAAGGAACAGGACCUCGGUUCUGUUCUUUUUGUCGGUUUUAUUGAACCGAGGUAAUGAUUAAAAGGAACGGACGGUGGCAUUAGUAUUGCGACGCUAGAGGUGAAAUUCUUGGAACGUCGCAAGACUGACUACUGCGAAAGCAUUUGCCGAGCACGUUUUCAUUAAUCAAGAACGAAAGUUAGAGGAUCGAAGGCGAUCAGAUACCGCCCUAGUUCUAACCCUAAACUAUGCUAACUAGCGAUCCGCCGGAGUCAUUCCCACGACCCGGCGGGAAGCCCCAGGGAAACCAAAGUCUUUGAGUUCCGGGGGAAGUAUGGUUGCAAAUCUGAAACUUAAAGGAAUUGACGGAAGGGCACCACCAGGAGUGGAGCCUGCGGCUUAAUUUGACUCAACACGGGAAACCUCACCAGGCCCGGACAUCAAAAGGAUUGACAGAUUGAGAGCUCUUUCUCGAUUGGAUGGGUGGUGGUGCAUGGCCGUUCUUAGUUGGUGGAGUGAUCUGUCUGGUUGAUUCCGAUAACGAACGAGACUCUACCCUGCUAACUAGUCGGCGGAUCGUAACCCUGUGCUAGGAGGAUCCAGAGUUUUACUGUCUUGCCUUUCAUGUAUGACUCGUGCUCCCGCGUUUGCUUUUUUUGUGAAAGCAUGAUGGCUUCGGUCGUUGUGCCGCCGCAGAAGGGUUUUCGUUUAGGUGCGUUAAAGAAUUGAUUGGCGGGUAUUACCGAGGUGACUCUUACUGGGGGCGUCCGUCGCAAUAUAUCUUCUUAGAGGGAUCAGCGGCGUCUAGCCGCACGAGAAAGAGCAAUAACAGGUCUGUGAUGCCCUUAGAUGUUCUGGGCCGCACGCGCGCUACAAUGUGCGGAUCAGCGUGCCACCCCGCUCCGAAAGGAGUGGGUAACCCGUUGAAACCCGCACUCAAUUGGGAUUGGGGAUUGCAAAUGUUUCCCAUAAACGAGGAAUUCCCAGUAAUCGUGAGUCAUUAACUCGCGCUGAUUACGUCCCUGCCCUUUGUACACACCGCCCGUCGCUACUACCGAUUGAAUGAUUCAGUGAGGUCAUCGGAUUGGCUCCUGCGGUUGCAAUAUACCCUAGGUUGACGAAAAGACGUCCGAACUCGAUCAUUUAGAGGAAGUAAAAGUCGUAACAAGGUUUCCGUAGU
Molecule: ribosomal RNA, 2207 nt
Filed under: Haploniscus cassilatus
Lineage: Eukaryota; Metazoa; Arthropoda; Malacostraca; Isopoda; Haploniscidae
Description: SSU rRNA
Rfam family: Eukaryotic small subunit ribosomal RNA
Source: RNAcentral